This 1295-nucleotide unclassified non-coding RNA is filed under the name Bombus terrestris (buff-tailed bumblebee). RNAcentral's name for it is "misc RNA ENSBTSG00005031412.1". Lineage: Eukaryota; Metazoa; Arthropoda; Insecta; Hymenoptera; Apidae. The record is from RNAcentral.
UCUCGAACUCUUUAGUUUAGAGGAAAAGGUAGGAAAGAGAAGAAGAUAAAACAGACGAACCGGAGAUUUUUAAUCUUCGAUCGCCAGUGAUUUUGGGUGCAUCGACCUGGAUCUACCCGAAGGACACAGCCGUGUAAAUAACGAUAAAUACCUAUUGGAGACGUUUUGGGUUUAAACAUGUGUGGACGGAACGGAAACUGUUGAAAAAAAAAGUGCAAAUUACAACCUCGCAUUAUCGUCGCUUACAUGGGCCAAGCGGCAAUAAUAAUUCAAUUUGUUAUCUUUCGUAGAGCUCCCUCAUGAUUAUUCCACUGCCAAUAUCGGUUUUAUCGAUACGUGGAGAUCGAAGCGUGGGGUUGAUACGCCACGGGAGUAAAGAAAUUCCCGUGACUAAUGGAAGAACACACGCAUUACUUCGUUCCAUGGGGUCCAGGGGAGGACCUGGCCGUGGCAUCUGUUCUUCAGUUACGAAGAACUUUGUUAAACUUCUUUUUUCCCCAGCUUUCUCUCCCUUUCUCCGUUAAUACAACACUCAUGGAGUGUCGGAGCUUUGGGAAAUUAUAGAUAAUCUAGAGCGUUCUCCUCUCUUUUUUUGGUAAUAGGACACGCCGUAGGAAAUUCGAUACAUCGUGGUUAGCGUGCAUGAAGAUAAAUGUGUCAAACUGAUAAAUAAUGCAUUGGAAUAUUUGAGAAAUAAGAAGUAUGAGAGUAUACGGUAGUGAGAUCGAUUGGGAUUAGGUUUUGAGGAUGUUUUGUCCCAAAAUGAGCAUCCCAGUUCGUUUUUAUGUAAUUUUUCGUAGGAAUUUGACAGAUUUAUGAAUAAUUUCAAUGAUUUUUUGAAAAUACAUAUAUAAAAGCUGUUUACAUUUUAUAUAUAUACGUAUAUUAUAAUUUCACAUUUAACAUAUUUUAUAUGCAUAAGCAUAUUCAGUAUAAUUAUGUAAAUCUAUUACAUUUAGCCAGAUGCUUCCUAACUAACCAGUUUUCCUUUCAAAUUUUUUCAAACUUGUUACUAGUUAUAACCAGUGUUACUGAAUUCUAAUUACAUCGGACCUAGUUGCAAUACAAAAUGAAUUUAAAUUAGGACACCAAUUUAGUCGAAGCAUUAACAUUCACGAAGUGAAUGCUAGCUUUUGUUACGUUCCAGUAUUUCGUCCAUAACUUUCCUUUUCUUUCGUUCGCCUCGUGCAAGCAAAAUACCCUUAUGUGAAGCGAAAUCGACAGCAUCUGUAUAAAUCUCGUACAGCUUAUGAGGUGAACGAAAAACGUCUUUUCUCUUUCUCUUUCUAUUCCUG